This 497-nucleotide ribosomal RNA is filed under the name uncultured bacterium. RNAcentral describes it as "partial 16S ribosomal RNA". It matches the Rfam family "Bacterial small subunit ribosomal RNA", at positions 28 to 507 of the family's 1533-position model. The record is from RNAcentral.
GACGAACGCUGGCGGCGUGCCUAAUACAUGCAAGUUGAGCGCUGAAGGUUGGUACUUGUACCAACUGGAUGAGCAGCGAACGGGUGAGUAACGCGUGGGGAAUCUGCCUUUGAGCGGGGGACAACAUUUGGAAACGAAUGCUAAUACCGCAUAAAAACUUUAAACACAAGUUUUAAGUUUGAAAGAUGCAAUUGCAUCACUCAAAGAUGAUCCCGCGUUGUAUUAGCUAGUUGGUGAGGUAAAGGCUCACCAAGGCGAUGAUACAUAGCCGACCUGAGAGGUUGAUCGGCCACAUUGGGACUGAGACACGGCCCAAACUCCUACGGGAGGCAGCAGUAGGGAAUCUUCGGAAAUGGACGAAAGUCUGACCGAGCAACGCCGCGUGAGUGAAGGAGGUUUUCGGAUCGUAAAACUCUGUUGGUAGAGAAGAACGUUGGGGAGAGUGGAAAGCUCAUCAAGUGACGGUAACUACCCAGAAAGGGACGGCUAACUACGUG